Molecule: transfer RNA, 76 nt
Filed under: Chloroflexota bacterium
Lineage: Bacteria; Bacillati; Chloroflexota
Also listed under: 1 other name
Description: Chloroflexi bacterium (rhizosphere metagenome) tRNA-Ala
Rfam family: tRNA
About the family: Transfer RNA (tRNA) molecules are approximately 80 nucleotides in length. Their secondary structure includes four short double-helical elements and three loops (D, anti-codon, and T loops). Further hydrogen bonds mediate the characteristic L-shaped molecular structure. tRNAs have two regions of fundamental functional importance: the anti-codon, which is responsible for specific mRNA codon recognition, and the 3' end, to which the tRNAs corresponding amino acid is attached (by aminoacyl-tRNA synthetases). tRNAs cope with the degeneracy of the genetic code in two manners: having more than one tRNA (with a specific anti-codon) for a particular amino acid; and 'wobble' base-pairing, i.e. permitting non-standard base-pairing at the 3rd anti-codon position.
Source: RNAcentral
GGGGCUUUAGCUCAGUUGGGAGAGCGAAACACUGGCAGUGUUUAGGUCGGGGGUUCGAAUCCCCCAAGCUCCACCA